AGUCGGGAGGAUGGCGCUUGGACAUUUAGCAACGGAGGAUUUAAUCACGGGCUUACUUCGUUUUGGAAUAAAGGUCACUGAAGAGGAGCGAAGUAAAUUCAAAGAUAAUGAAGUUGACGGAGAAGCAGUGGACUAUGGAUUGACUGAGAGGAUGGUUUCAUACCUCUUUGAAGGAUCGUUUAAGAAGCAAGCCAAAUUCAACCGAUUUGUACAGCAGUGGAAAGAAACCGUGACACUAACCGUUGAGCCUGUCCCGGUACAUUCAGAGAAGGCUACAGUGGAAUCAAGAAUGAAUAUCUGCCGAAGAUUUUAAGAUGGCUUUAAGAUCCUAGUACCCACAGUGCUUAGACUGACUCAAAGGAAAUCUCCCCUUGCAGAUCUGGCUUUGGAGGAAAGAGAGGCUGCCCUCACCGAAGAUGUCCCUGGGAUUGAUUUCAGAGCUGCAAUCCUGCUGUUGCCGAUCCUGUUGAGGGAGAAAAAUGACAUUCUCAUCAUACUUGGAGAGGUGUGUAAUUUGCGUAUACUUAUUUUUUGUUUACAUUACUUCACGCAGAGACUGGGAGAAUUAUAUGCAUCCCUUGGAUGUCUUAUUUCAUAAUACAAAGUUUCUAGCUGUCAAUACUGGGCCUUGGUGUGGACAUGGGGGAAC
Long non-coding RNA from Sander lucioperca (pikeperch), 649 nucleotides. RefSeq lists it as uncharacterized. Lineage: Eukaryota; Metazoa; Chordata; Actinopteri; Perciformes; Percidae. The transcript has 4 exons. The record is from RefSeq and is a predicted model, not a curated record.